CCAGCAGCUGCGGUAAUUCCAGCUCCAAUAGCGUAUAUUAAAGUUGUUGCAGUUAAAACGCUCGUAGUCUGAUGUAAUGGGGACUAAUGUGGGGAGCAGCAAUGCUCUUUGCUUCGGUCCUCAUCAACGGGACAGCAAUAUCCCAUUUUACUUUGAGGAAAUUAGAGUGUUCAAAGCAGGCGAUUGCUUGAAUACUGCAGCAUGGAAUAAUGGAAUAGGACUCGCGUCUUAUUUUGUUGGUUUGGAGAUGUGAGUAAUGAUGAAUAGGGACAAUUGAGGGCAUUAAUAUUCAGUAGUCAGAGGUGAAAUUCUUGGAUUUACUGAAGACUAACUAGUGCGAAAGCAUUUGCCAAGGAUGUUUUCAUUGAUCAAGAACGAAAAU
Molecule: ribosomal RNA, 382 nt
Filed under: uncultured eukaryote
Lineage: Eukaryota
Description: SSU rRNA
Rfam family: Eukaryotic small subunit ribosomal RNA
Source: RNAcentral